Molecule: long non-coding RNA, 538 nt
Organism: Carassius carassius (crucian carp)
Lineage: Eukaryota; Metazoa; Chordata; Actinopteri; Cypriniformes; Cyprinidae
Exons: 2
Source: RefSeq, a predicted model, not a curated record
UUUAAUCUAGAUUAAUCUCACUGUGAUCUUGAAAUUAAUCUAGAUUAAUCUAGAUUAAAAUGGCUCAUUCGAAUUCUGCCGAAGGCAUUCAGAAUAUGUGUGUUACCCAAAUAAAAUUGACAAACAGUAAGUCUUUGAGAAGGGGUUUAUCAAGCUAGGUGGUGCAUUAGAAAAGGGGCUCAUCUCCUGUUUCCAAAAUGCAUCAAUAAGUGCUUGAAAAAGCUGUAAACUAAUUCCACAUUGCACAAGUGGGGACCCGGUGAAGGUUGUACCAGUGGGCCCUGUUUGAAAUUGUUUAAUUUGUAUGUUUGUUUAUUUUUAUUUAUUUGUGCUAUUUACACAAUGUUUAAGUUUUUUUCAAGUUUGUAGGUGUCAAGGUACAGAAACCAAAUAAUUAAAUGUAAAAUAGCACUGGAUAGUCUUCAAUGUAAAAAUGAAAUAUACAAUCAAACCUACAUUUAUUCAGAAACCUUCAACAUUUCUCACAUUAUUUCAGUUUUGCUAUAUAUAUCAAAAAAUAUAUCUGGUGUCUGAAUAA